CUAACACAUGCAAGUCGAGCGGACAAAAGGGACUUGGCUCUCUUGUGNNCGGCGGAGAGGGGAGAAUUGCCUAUGAAUCACCUUGCUGUUGGAGUAUAAUAUCUCCAAAAAACCGCUACUACUACCUAAUUCCUCCUGGAAAAACNUGGGUACCUGAUGAACUACCGUUUUCGCAUUAACUUACGUAUGAUCCCCUNGUUCGUUAGCUAAUGGGUCACCAAACCGACCANCCAAGCCUCGUUUCAUAGCAUAAUUAAUAGGGUUAUAACUCACACUGGGACUAAACCCCUACCGAAACUCCUACUGGGGAAUAUUGUACAAAAUCUUAAACCCUGAUCCAAACUUUCCCCGAGUAUCACCAAGGGCUUCAUAAUGGUUUCCACUUCAAAUAGCUCUGAAGGUCGGUAACAAAAUACGCAAUAGUUACUGCUUGCCCCUUGAAAUUACCUCCCCGUAACUCUGUGGCUAACUACGUGCCUAAUACACGAGGUAAUACCUUUUUUCGAAAAUUUUUUGCAGCGUUAAUCGGAAUUACUGGGCGUAAAAGCGCGUUUUCGUCAAGGUGGUUAUGUUAAGUUGUGAUGUGGAUCAAUCCUCCGGGCUCAACCUGGGAACUGCAUUCAAAACUGACUGACUAGAGUAUGGUAGAGGGUGGUGGAAUUUCCUGUGUAGCGGUGAAAUGCGUAGAUAUAGGAAGGAACACCAGUGGCGAAGGCGACCACCUGGACUGAUACUGACACUGAGGUGCGAAAGCGUGGGGAGCAAACAGGAUUAGAUACCCUGGUAGUCCACGCCGUAAACGAUGUCAACUAGCCGUUGGGAGCCUUGAGCUCUUAGUGGCGCAGCUAACGCAUUAAGUUGACCGCCUGGGGAGUACGGCUCGCAAGGUUUAAAACUCAAAUGAAUUUUGACGGGGGCCCGCACAAAGCGGUGGAGCAAUGUGGUUUAAUUCGGAAGCAAACGCGAAGAACCUUUACCAGGCCUUGACAUCCAAUGAACUUUCUAGAGAUAGAUUGGUGCCUUCGGGAACAUUGAGACAAGGUGCUGCAAUGGCUGUCGUCAGCUCGUGUCGUGAGAAUGUUGGGUUAAGUCCCGUAACGAGCGCAACCCUUGUCCUUAGUUACCAGCACGUAAUGGUGGGCACUCUUUAAGGAGACUCCGGGUGNCAAACCGGAGGAAGGUGGGGAGNAGGUAAAUUAUUCAUGGCCCUUUGGCCUUGGGUUACACACNUGUUCCAAUGGUNGGAACAAAGGGUUGGCAAGCCCAAAGGUUAAGCUANUCCCAAAAAAUGUUUUGUAUUCGGGAUGCCAUUUUGAAAUUGGAUUGGGGGAAGUGGGAAUNGUUNGUAAUNGGGAAUCANAAUGUNGGGGGGAAUAGUUUCCCGGCCUUUGUACACNCCCCCGGUCACNCCAUGGGAUUUGGUACCNCCAAAAGUAGUUAGUUUACCUUUANGGAGGCAGGUUCCCAAGGUGNGACUCAUGAUUGGGGUGAAGUCGUAACAAGGUAGCCGUAUC
RNAcentral lists this ribosomal RNA (1514 nucleotides) under endophyte bacterium 01. RNAcentral's name for it is "partial 16S ribosomal RNA". It matches the Rfam family "Bacterial small subunit ribosomal RNA". The record is from RNAcentral.